RNAcentral lists this long non-coding RNA (7504 nucleotides) under Carica papaya (papaya). RNAcentral's name for it is "long non-coding RNA (CPAP_LNC004591)". Lineage: Eukaryota; Viridiplantae; Streptophyta; Magnoliopsida; Brassicales; Caricaceae. The record is from RNAcentral.
CAAAAUCCGGUAACCGAUCAGAACCGUCCCUGUAAACCAAAAUCUGGUCUUGCACGCUGUCGCGACAGGAAAUGUCUUUUUCGCACAAGAAACAGUUCUCGCAUAUCUUGUUAGGACCUGCACAAUUCAAAGUUUAUAUCACAUUAUUAAUUACAUUAAUUUAUCCAUGCUAUAGGACUUUCUAAUUCUAAUAAUUUAUCGAAUAAUUGAAGUUUAUCAUCUUAAUUAAUAAUGAAACGAGAAACCUACCAUGGUAUUCAACAUGGUGGACCGGAGAGUAUCUUUCAUCAGCCUUGGCCUUUCUGUUUGUCUGCUCCGCGAGCUCUCUCGUUGCUCCCGUUGGCUGGCUACUCUUCUUCUUGAUCAAUGAUUUAGGUUUACCAUCUGCCUCCUUAGCAGCAGGCUUAUGCUGUGGCGGUUCAUCCAAUGUGCUUUCUACGACUAGUAAAAACGACAGCGAUGUUAAUCCAUAUUUGAAACAAAAUCUGCUAAACAUAAUACAAUAAACUAGAAAAUCUAGAGAUAAACAUGAACAAUUAUCUGUUAGGUAAUCAAAUAGAAGGAUUUAUAAAUUAUAUAUUUUCAGAAAUCUACAAGUUAGAAUCUAAAAAUGACAAUGAAAUUCAAAAUAAAAUCGAUUGAUCUUCUUAUGAUGGAAAACUCAAUAUUGAAGAGCGGUAGAGUACCUGUUUGUGUAUGAUUAGGUUUGCUCUUCUCCUUGGUUUUACCUUUUGGAGAUCCUACAAGAUUAUCACUAAGCUGCUUCCGUUCAGACGCUGAUUGGUUGGUUACCGUCCUGAUUUUAGAUUUCUGCUCAGCCACUUUGCUCACACCUUGAGACUUAACCUUAGCUGCUGGAUGAACUAUCCUGAAUGAUCUGCUUUUCCAGGUACAGGCUUCAGAAUCAGGAGCCUCUUCUUGCCUUCUAGAAUAUGAUUGAAUCUUCGCUCUGCUAAUACCAGUUUUCAAAUCAUAAUCUUGUUCCCCACUGGAAUUUGGUUGAAUCUUAAGUACUUCUCCACAAUCUGCUUGAAUCUUCACUCUCCUGCUACAACUAGAUUUGGUUUCGGAGGUACUGACUUUAGAAUCAUGAGCUUUUUGCCUUCCAGAAUCUGAUGGAAUCUUAGUUCUGUCGUUACUAUGAGAUGUUUUGACUGCUGGAGAAUUAUACGAGUUGGGUUUGGAGGAACUGGCUUCUGCAUCAUAAGCACAUUGACUAGGAAUCUCCGGCUUUCUGAUUUCUUGGGCCUUUCCAGGACUAUCUAUAACUGAUUUAUCUUUCAAGGUCCUAUUCGUAAGGGCAUGGUGUCGUACAGAAACUGAGUUCUUAGACAUUUGGCUGCUGGGUUCAGCCUUAAGUUUAACCGGUCGAGUAUCUUUAGCAGGAGUGUUUGGUUUGCUCAUGGUUUCUCUGCCCUUAAUUGGAAGACGAGAACCCUUGCAAGGCUCAAUCCUUCUUUUCCAGUCACAGGCACUCAUCCCUGGUUAGAAGACGAAAAAGGAAACUUGUUCAGACAACGCCGUUUUCUUCAAGCUCCAUAACAAAAUUUAAAAAAAAAAAAAAAACCCUAAAAAAAUCUACAGUAGCAGUGACGGAGACAACCAGAAAAUUGAAAUUAAUAAUCAAUUUGCUUAUUUCAAGAAGACAAAUUAUACUCAAAGAAAUAAAUAAACACGAAUUAUCAAACAAAAACUCGUCAAAUCGGCUUGUAUUACUUGACUUUCGUUAAACGCAAAUCAAAAGAGUCAGAAAGAAACAUUCUUGUCAAACAAUAUCUCUUCAUAUAUAUAUAUACACACACGUAUAUGUGUACAUAUAUACAUAUAAGCAUGAUUCUGAAAUUUCACAAUAUGAGUAGAAGGACGAAAGAAAAAGAAAAGGAAAUACCAAUUGGAGGUAUGUGAGUAUGAGAGAGAGUGGCUUCAGAACCUAAAGAACAGGGAAGACUGAUUUUGCGUUGGCCUCUCUGACUCUGCGAGUGAAUUAGAACGAGGGGUUCCGGGAGCUCUAUAUAUAAUUUUGGGUGUGGGGCCCACGAGAUCUAAUAUACUCCUCUUCGUUAUGUAAUCGGAAAAGGAAACUAAAAGGCAGUGGGACCCACGAGAUUCUUCGAAUAGGAAACGGGGUUUUGUUUUUGUUUUUGUUUUUUGGUACUUUAAAUAUAUAUAGUUAUUUUUUUAAUAAAAAAUCUAGAAAUUAGAUCUCAAAAAUAAAAGCAAGGAUAAACUAUUUGUUAUAAUUAAUUCUUAUCCUUAUUUUACUUCACAAAAAUUUCCAGUAAAAAUUUAAAAUAAAUAUAUUUUCUGAUUUUGAUUUUGUAAAAUCAAAAUCAUGUGAUUAUUCAAAUAAUAAAAAAUAAAUAAAAUAAUUUUCUAAAAAAGCAAAAAAUAUUAGUUUAAUAUAUAUUUUAUGCACAAAACUAUUUUUUAAAAAAAAUAUUAUCUAAAACGGUUCGUUUUAUAUGAAGACAAAAUCCCAAAUAAUGAAUAAAUUUAUUUCAGUAAUUGAUUCUCAACUUCGAGCAAUAAUCCAGCAAAUAAACUCAGCAAACAGAACUUGAUCCAGCCAUCUCAAGGCAUGUUUUUCAUAGCUUCAACUACUAAAGAUCCAAGGAGCCAGAAAAUACUAUUCACAGUUUUUUUUUUUUUUUACAAUAUGGAACAGAGUAGCUUCUGUUCUUUUUUUUUUUUUUUUUUUGGUUAAUGUACAAAGGGAGAGAUUAAGCUAAAUCAGAGAUAAUCAGCUGUACAAAGGGAAAAUCAUGAUCAACUCCCUCCCAUGAGGAAAUAAAGAUUUUGAAUGUCAUUGGAGUAGUUUUUAUGUAUAUACAGUUGGUUUUCUUCCAUCAUCUCUAACCUGCUUNNNNNNNNNNNNNNNNNNNNNNNNNNNNNNNNNNNNNNNNNNNNNNNNNNNNNNNNNNNNNNNNNNNNNNNNNNNNNNNNNNNNNNNNNNNNNNNNNNNNCCACAGAUUCAGCAGACAAGUAGUAGUUUGAGCAGUUCCGGGUGAUCGCCUCAUAAUGCCCCUUAGAUUUGAGAACAAAUGCACCUAUUUCAUGGACUUCUAGGCGACCAAAAGAGAUCUUUUCUUUAUUUGCCUGACGUAGGUUCAGCAAACUUAAAAUAAGUAUUGCGUACGUACAGAUUGAAAAGGAAAAGUGCAAGAAUUUACAACAUGACCACAAAACAGCACAAAGUGGACAUUUUUAGAGGGAAGUAAUAACCGAUGCAGUAGUUAGUCAACUACCAAGAAACUUAAGGAGAACAGAAGGAAACAUACUCAUGAGACGAGGAAGUUUAGAACAAUGUACCUGCUUCUCAAGUUGAUGCUUUGUGUACAACGUUUUAACCAAAUCUUUCUUUUCUUGUAACUCAUUCCUAAGCUGUUCAUUUGCAGCUUCAAUCUUUGGGUACUUCUCAAUCAGCUCGUCUCGAUGCCUAGACAAGAAACUAACCUUGUCCGCAAGGAUACGAAUACAUUUUCGGAACUCAGCAGUACCAUCAUCUUCAUUGUCAGCAAUGGAACUGCAAAUUUUCGAAGUUAAGGUCAAAACCAAAAGGCCUUAGCACAUAAAUUUACCAGAUUAAAGCUCCUUCAGUAAAAUUUAAGAUAUCGAAAACCCGCCCAAAAAAUACCUUUCAAGAAAAGACCUAUCGGCUGAAAGAUAAAGGCCAAUAGUGGGCAAUAGAAGAGGGCUCAGGUUGAAAAUUUUUUAAGAGAAAAAUUUUGGAGCAUCAUAGUAACUUACUUGGACAGAAGGGAUUGAGCUAAUGCACGCAAAGCAUCGGCAAAGCCAAUCACUCCACCAGGUGCAUAAACACAGCUCCUAAGCCUCUCAAACAAGCCACGCAUUUUCACAGCAGAAGCUCUCAGUGCACUAUACUCUGAGGCUCUUCGGUCUGCAGCACAGAGAUGAGUUUGGGCUUCUUCUCUUGCUUCAUGCAAACAAUUCUCUAAGUGGGCACAGUUCAUCUGUUAUUCAAAUAAAAGAACAUCAAUUGCUAUAGAAUUAUUAUAGAUAUUUGAUGUAGGCAUACAAAUGAGAUGAGAAGGAGAAAGACUGUCUUUUGAGAUGGUAAAGAAAAUCCAGAACUUUAUUUACAGGAAACUCAGGAUUUUAUAAAGUUAUAGAAUCUUUUAGGACCGAACAUAUGAAAGAAAUCAGUGAUUAAGAUACCAUGACAUCAAUCAGAUAAAAUUUAACACGACAAGCACAAAGUAGAGAAAAUCCAGAACUUUAUUUAACAGGAGACUCAGAUUUUAUAAAGUUAUAGAAUCUUUUAGGACCGAACAUAUGAAAGAAGUCAGUGAUUAAGAUACCAUGACAUCAAUCAGAUAAAGUUUAACACGACAAGCACAAAGUAUUAUCAGGAGAAUGACCAGGAUCCUUGAACCAACCUACAAGGUAAAACUAGCUAAUAAGUUUAGUUUUAGAAAUCUGGUUGACUAGGGAAAAACUUCAUCUAAAGGGGGCCUGGUUGACGCAGGCAGCCCAGGCAUAUAGUACUUUUAGUCUUAUGAAGUGCUUGGGUUCAAUCCAGGGUGGUUCCACCCAGAUAAGAAGAAAACAAAAAGAGGGCCCGGUUGUAAUGUUGUCUUUAAAUUUCACUCCCUUAUAGUUCUAUGAUUUGAACUAGCAAAUAAAUUGUUAUGUAUUAUUGCAAACCUAAAAUCUUUGCGUCGGGUGUUGUCAUAGGCAAAGGUUUUUGCCUGAAAAAUAACCACAAAGAACCAAAUCUAUUUUUCCAUCUGCAAACCAACAUCUCUGACACAACAGUGGGACCAAACAUAACAUAUGAAAAUAUCCCAUACAUCUUCAAUCACUAUUCUUCCAGAGAGCACUCCAAUUCUAAUGAAGACUGAUGAUGGCCAUUCUUUAACAAAAUUUCACCCUAAUAGCAAUCUUGGAAAUUUGUUACAUUUUCACCACUCCACCAAAAGCUAUUAUUCCCAUCCCCACUUCCUAAAUAUUAUCUUCUAUCAUAUUAAGAUCAUCAACAGUUUACAUCCUACAUUGUCUUUAAUUGUUUCUGUUCAUCCUGAAGUUAAAUUGCAUACAAUGUUGCCAAAGAUCACCCUCUGACGAAAAAAAGAAAACAUAGUUCGACCAGACUAAAGAUGUGAAGGAGAUCAAUAGAGAAUGGAAAGAGGUAACUACUCCCUCUUUUCCCUCUCAUAGUUGGUGGAUAGUGAUAACCUAUUGUUGGGCCAAUCAUCUGUAGAAAUGGUAGACAUUAUUAAUAAACUGUUAUGAAGGUGUUUAACUCCUAGAUAUAUGGAAAACCAGGGGAAUCAUGCAAAGAGUUAUUUCAGGAGAAACCUAAAAUCAACUCAAGACAAAUUACACCAAGACUGCAACAGAAUCCCAUUUGACCAUCACCUUUCCCUGCACCACUUCUCUCCCCUUAACACCCCUCUCCUGGCAUUUAUUAAAAAAUAAAAAACAAAAAAAAAGGAAGGAAACAAAACAAAAGCAGCUGAAACAUUUAGGAACAGAGUAAUCAUGGUCAGAAACACAAGGAAUUAAAUAUGGAAAACCAUAAGGGGCCUAAUAAAAAGAAGCAUUCUGGAACUGAGAGGUUUAGGAAUUUGCUAAGCACGCCAUCAACAAUGAUCAAACCAGAGAAAGUUAUACCUGAGAUUCAUCAAGGAGCUUCUGACUCAUUUCCAAUUCUCUUCUAAGCACAGCAACUUCCUCCAUAGCAUCUUUAAGCCUAGUUUCAGUGUCACUCAAUUGGUUUGACUUGUCAACAAGUGCACUUUGCAAUUCCAACACACGUUCUGCACUAUCUUUAGAUUCUAAACCCAGCCCAGUAGCUAAGUCACAAGGUAAGAGAUUCUGAGGUACAGGCAUGCUCUCAGCAGUUGAACUGUUAGUCAGCGACAUGCCCAAUUGUCCUACCAUCUUAUCUUUUGCACCUUUCUCAUUUACUUGCAGCUCAUCACGAUGCUGCUCCAGCAUUGAUGAAUCCAACUGAGGAUUUAGCACUCCAGAAGAAUCCAUCAUAUUUUCAUCAACACCUUCUCGACCUUUGCCUGAUAGCCUAGUGAAAGGACCCAGUUUUGCAUCCAAAGAAUUUGAAAUACAUGAAACCUCAUCCAUGGGUUCAGUAGUAGAUAUAUAAGGGACAUUGACCUCUCUACCACAAGAGACCUCUUGUUUGCAGCCAUCAGAUUUUGCAGCCAAAAGGGUAAAGUCAGAGACAUCCUUAGUGUUAGGAAAUUUCUGCCCCUGCAAAUAUUGAUCAGAUAAUCUCUGCUCCAGUUCUUGAAUGCGCGUUUCAUAGGAAGCACACCGUAUUUGCUUUGCCUUGAUGAUAGAGUGGAGAUGUUUUAUAUAUUCAUCUUUCUCGUGCAAUGCUUUAUCAGUCUUCUCCUUAGCAUUCUUAAAUAAAUCAUCUAAUUUAUUAUCAUCCAAUGGCUGAUGUUCUGCUUGCGGGUGCAAAAAACAAAUAUAAGCUAUUUUUUCAGCAAGUUCAGCUUUCAGCCUUGCAUUCUCAACUUCCAUCUUGCUAGUACCAGCAAUAUCUACCAACUCAGAGCCCUCAAGGAAGUCCUCAGAGUCCUCUUUCUCCAGAGUUUCAACAGAAAUCUCUUCAGUCUCAACUGAAUGAGAGCUAUGAUUUGACAUGGAAACUGAACUCUUUGAGGUCAAAAGCUUCACAGGGGAUCCAGCUAAAUACUCCGGAGCAUAGUAUUCCACAUCCGAAAUGUCAAUAUCAAGCAAAUUAGUGUCAAAAGGAACUAUAUUGACAUCACACUGACUGGGAGUAGUAUAUAAACCCAUAGAAGCAAAUAUAUCUCUUGGUAUGUAUGCACUCUGUGCUUUGAGAAACUCCUCACGUUUCCUUACCUCAGCCUCCCUCUCUGUCGCAAGCCUUUCAGCCAGCUGUCCGGCCUUGCCCAUGUAAAUCUUCAUGGAAGCUUUUCUUCUCACAAUUUCUGCAAGGCAGGCCCUAUAUGCAGGGCCAAUCCCAUGAAUCACUUUUAGGUCAGUAAAUUGCUCUUCCUGACGAGCCAUUGCCUCUUUAAAGACAGGAAACUGAAAUUUAACAUCUUUGAUGACAGAUGUAACAUGUGUUAUCUUUUGCAUAUAAUUGUGGACAAAAAUAUUCAUUUCAUUCUUCUUAUCCUUGCAAAUAUCAAGCAGUUUGGAUAUCAAAUGAUCACAAGUUUGCAUCCUAGGCAGGUGAUUCUUGUCAUGGACAUCAUACAUCGGACCCAGAGCUGAAACUGCAUCAUGUGGACGAAGAGAGGAGGAUAACUGGCAGGAGAGACAAUCAUCCACAAGCUUCUUCACUGUGUUGACAUCUUUGCUGCAUGAAGAUGCAAAAGUUCCAGUUACUUUUUCAUAUAUUGUUUUUGUAACAUUUUUUUACCAUGUAACCAAUAAUCAGGAUAAUGCAAGACGCAAACACACAGAAGAACCAACUAAAGUGUGAUAUGAUCACUGAAUGAUAUGGUAAACGAUCAUCAGCGGAGCCAACAUCAUGUUUGAACAGGGG